CCCCUGGUGGUGGAAUUGGUAGACACGCAGGACUUAAAAUCCUGUGAUCAGCAAUGGUCGUAUCGGUUCAAUUCCGAUCCGGGGGACAA
Molecule: transfer RNA, 89 nt
Filed under: Hymenobacter sp.
Lineage: Bacteria; Pseudomonadati; Bacteroidota; Cytophagia; Cytophagales; Hymenobacteraceae
Description: tRNA-Leu
Rfam family: tRNA
About the family: Transfer RNA (tRNA) molecules are approximately 80 nucleotides in length. Their secondary structure includes four short double-helical elements and three loops (D, anti-codon, and T loops). Further hydrogen bonds mediate the characteristic L-shaped molecular structure. tRNAs have two regions of fundamental functional importance: the anti-codon, which is responsible for specific mRNA codon recognition, and the 3' end, to which the tRNAs corresponding amino acid is attached (by aminoacyl-tRNA synthetases). tRNAs cope with the degeneracy of the genetic code in two manners: having more than one tRNA (with a specific anti-codon) for a particular amino acid; and 'wobble' base-pairing, i.e. permitting non-standard base-pairing at the 3rd anti-codon position.
Source: RNAcentral